GGACCCAGCUCCCCUCAUCCGGGGAAUCCGGACAAGUAUCACCCUAUCAUCAUACUGCCUCUCUGUAGCCGCCGCUUCCUGUCACAUAUUACUAAAACAGAUGAAGACCCCCAAAGUGACCCAAACAUUGGCCAGGUAGCUCAGCAGAGACUGAAGGAUCAGAAUAGUCCGAUGGACGAGAGACUCAGCAAAAAGAUAUCUUGCUCAAUUCAACGGCAUAAUAAUCCGGAUAUGAUAUUGAAAUUCAUAAAUAUUGAAAUCUGAUUAUAACCCCUGAUGAAGUCCUAUCGGACGAAACGCGUUGGAUUUCUUCAAACAUGUGGAUUAGAUCAUACAUCUGAAUAAUUGAAUUGAAGAUCUGACAUCUUAUGCAACAGCUGAUAUCAUCAGAAUACAAUUCUCCAAUUUAUUGUUAAAACAACAUGUUCUUGUUUAUUUGAUGUAUAUGAUCUUAAGAAAGGGAUUUUUAUUCAUUUGUGAUACUAAUAUUUACAACAGUGAUGAAGAUUUUAUUGCUAAUUUUAUGAAUAAACAAUUUUUAAUAUAAAUGUUUUUGAUCUUCUGAGGUGGUUUAAGCUCCCAUGAGAAUUCUGUUUUCUUCUUUCAUAAAUAUAUAUAUAUAUAUAUAUAUAUAUAUACACGCUAAUUUUUCCCCUCCUGAGCGAUAUAGUUUACUAUAUUGCCCAGUGUGUAUGCAACUGACGAAGAGCGAUGUGCGGCUCCGCGGGUCGUAAACGACCCUCGGUCUUGGCUUUGCAUGCAGCUCAAUUUGGACUCACUGUCCAAAGCUGCAUGCUUCGUCCGGCCGCGGCAUGACGUCACUUUGCGAUAAUGCUAGCGACAUCCAGUGCUUAAAGUGGUCCCAGAGAGCUGGUGAAACUCCCCCCCCCCCCGGCGCCUAUGCAAUAAAGAGAUAAAAGGGGCGUGUCUCAAGAUGAAAGGGGCAUGGUCAUGCAAAAGUAUCCCCAAUUAAAAUUAUACCGCACAGUGGCACAAUCUUAUUCACAUUACACCACAGUGGUGUCCCUUAUUCAUGUUGUAACACACAUUAGAGCCCCUUAUACACAAAGCCCACAGUAGUAACACCCCUAAUACACAUAAUGCACACAGCAGUAGCACCCCUAAUACACAUAAUGCCCACAGCAGUAGCGCUCCUUAUAGAAUGCCCACAGUAGUGGCACCCCUAAUACACAUAAUGCCCACAGCAGCAGCGCCCCUUAUACAGUGCCCACAGUAGUAGUGCCCCUUAUGCAAUGUCCACUGCAGUGGUAGUGCCCACAGUGGUAGUGCCCCUUAUGUAGAGCCCAUAGUAGGGGUGCCGCUUAUGCAAUGCCCCCCGUAGUAAUGCCCCUUAUGUCUCCAGGAGUGAUGCCCCUUUUUCAAUGCCCUCAUUAGUAGGGCUCUAGUAGUAAUGACCUUAGUGAUAAUGCCCCUGCGUAGUAUUGCCCCCAGUAGAAAUGCCACUGUAGUAGUGCUGCCUGUAGUUAUGCCCCCAGUAGUUAUGUCCCCAGUGGUAAUGCCCCCAGUAGUUUAGCCCUCAGUGGUAAUGCCCCCUGUAGUUUUGCCCCUGUAGUUAUGUCCCCAGUAGUUUAGCCGCCAUGGUUUAACCCCCAAUAGUUAUGCCCCCAGUAGUUUAGCCUCCCUGUAGUUUAGCCCCUUAUGCCCUCACUAGUUAUGCCCCCAUUAGUUUAGCCCCCUGUACUUUAGCAGCCGUAGUUAUGCCCCCAAUAGUUAUGCCCCUAGUAGUUUAGCCCCCCUGUAGUUUAGCCCUCAGUAGUUUAACCCCCCCCCUGUAGUUUAGCUCCUAUACUUAUAGCCCCUUUAGUUAUGCUCCCAGUAAUUUAGCCCCCUGAAGUUAUGCCCCCUGUGGUUAUUCCCCUUUAGAAGUGCCGCUUACAUACACACACAAAAAACAAACAAACCACAAUACUCACCAAGCCCUGCUUCUGCUUCCGGACCGCUGCUCUCCGCCUGGCCACCCACUCCUUGAAUUUAUGGGAGAGACGUCAUGACAUCUCUCCCAUAGCGCAGCGCCGCGCACUGCCGGAAGCUGGAGCUCAGGACUGAGCUCCUUCCCCCAGCUGCCGCUGUGGGGAGGGAGCCGGGUGCCAGCUGGUAACACAAUCUCAGCGGGCGCCUAGCAUUUCCCUGCAUGCAGGGCUGACAUCGGGUUAGUUGGGCUAGAGGAGGCGGAACUGGUUCCGUCUCCAAAUGGAACUGACGGAACGCAGUUCUGCCCCGUUCCAUCUCACUUUAACCCCUGGUGAUAUCGCACAGUGUGUAUGCCUGCUGUCGGGCGGCCUGGCCCGGGAGGGGAAACACUAGGUGAUGUCACUCACAGAGCACAUCAACUAGUGUGUAUCUAUCUGUAACGAGUCACCCAUUGUUACACAAAAGUCCCAUGAUUGAAGCAUCACACACUCUAUAUAAACCCCAGUCCUCCAGGAUGCACAAGCAGCUCCUGCUUAUUAAAAUUAUAUGUGGCAUGCAUAUAUUCUGUAUGUAAUUGCAGCUAUAGUGGCAUACCAAAUUAUGUUUGGUAGGGAAACACUGUAGCAUAACAUUUCAUAUGCAGAUACAGCCACAAUUACACACAGAAUAUAGGCAUGCCGUAUAUCAUUUUAAACAGCAGUAGCUGCUUGUGCAUCUUAUUCGCAUCAUUUUGCAUCUAAGAUGCAAUUUCCAGAGCAAAAUAUGCAAAAAUGACAUGUACAGUACACAAACUAUUUUGAGAUAUCAAAGUUUUUUGUUUUUAAGGUUAGAGAUCAUUUAAAAAAUAUAAUUUGUUGGAAAUGUGCUGUAAUUGUGUACUUGUAAUUGUUUUUUAACAUUGACAAAUAUAACUCGCCCCCCCAAAAAACAGCUCUUUUUAUGUCUGACUUUGUAGAACUGUUUUGUGUGAGAUUUCCAAGCUCAGACUCCAUUACAUCAGCCUGGUUGUAUAUUUAACAUGGGAAAAACAUCUGGAUCUGACUUUUGGCCAGCCAUGACUUUGCAUGUACUUGGAUGCCAUUACAUUGGCUGGGUUUGCAAAAUGUCUGACUUUUGUGGCAAAAUCUGACAUUUUACAAACUUAGCUCCAUAACAUCCAGGUAUGGACAGAACAGUCAUGCAGUCAGGGUGUAAUAAAACCAGUUUCAGUCCGCAGUAAUGCACAUGGGCCCUUUGAGGUAAGCAGUUGCUCAAUAGGUCCAAAUAAUUAUCCAGGAUAUAAAUAAUGCUGUUAGUUAGUUUAAAACACAGUCAGUGAGCACCAGUAAAUGUGAUGUCAAGGUGCAACAAGGUAAACAGUUCCAAUAUAUUUGCCAGUUGCCACAUUGAUAAUGAAGCCAAUCUGUGGCGCCUUAAUUAACAAGAAGUCCUCGCAGAAGAUGUCCAAACAACGCUGGAAGACAGAUACAUCUUUGUCCACUUAGUAUUACUGGUAACGUCACACAGCCACUGCGGCACGCCCCUCCAACGGUCCGGACACACCUGCAUUGUCCAGACUGCAACCUAAUUGAAUCUCCCCUGUGGAGUGCAUUUGGGCAUACAGAAGCAGAAUUAUAAUUAUUUUAUUUAUAUAACAUUGUAAAGAGAUUUAAAUAUAUAAACCGCAAUGGCACAGUCUUGCGACCCUGCUCACAGUCUAACCUUGAACUCAUUAAUUCUCUCUUUUAGGACAGGUAGAAUCACUAAUAUCAUGUGGUGACCUGUUGUGCCUGUGUAAUCCCUGUACUGUCUAGUCUAGUAUGUACAAUAAAAUGUUCUUGUUUUGAA
This is a long non-coding RNA of Pseudophryne corroboree (corroboree frog), 3759 nucleotides long. RefSeq lists it as uncharacterized. The record is from RefSeq and is a predicted model, not a curated record. The transcript is spliced from 4 exons. Lineage: Eukaryota; Metazoa; Chordata; Amphibia; Anura; Myobatrachidae.